GCCUGACGCAGCGACGCCGCGUGGAGAAAGAAGGCCUUUGGGUUGUAAAACUCUUUUUUGAGGGGAGAAGUAAGUGACGGUACCUCCGGAGGAAGCCCCGGCUAAAUACGUGCCAGCAGCCGCGGUAAUACGUAGGGGGCGAGCGUUGUCCGGAAUUACUGGGCGUAAAGGGCGUGUAGGCGGUCCUUUAAGUCAGGUGUGAAAACCCCCGGCUCAACCCCGGGAAUGCGCUUGAAACUGGGGGGCUUGAGGGCAGGAGAGGGGAGUGGAAUUCCCGGUGUAGCGGUGAAAUGCGUAGAUAUCUGGAGGAACACCCGUGGCGAAGGCGGCUUCCUGGACUGGACCUGACGCUGAGGCGCGAAAGCGUGGGGAGCAAACAGGAUUAGAUACCCCGGUAGUCCCCGCCGUAAACGAUGGGUACUAGGUGUUGGGGGUAUCGACCCCUCCAGUGCCGCAGUUAACACA
RNAcentral lists this ribosomal RNA (465 nucleotides) under uncultured bacterium. RNAcentral's name for it is "bacterial SSU rRNA". It matches the Rfam family "Bacterial small subunit ribosomal RNA", at positions 381 to 859 of the family's 1533-position model. The record is from RNAcentral.